This 6867-nucleotide long non-coding RNA is filed under the name Nicotiana tabacum (common tobacco). Its description in RNAcentral is "long non-coding RNA (NTAB_LNC004578)". Lineage: Eukaryota; Viridiplantae; Streptophyta; Magnoliopsida; Solanales; Solanaceae. The record is from RNAcentral.
GUUCUCUUUUAAUUCUCUGUUUAGGCUACUUUUCUUGUUAUGUUUUGAAUAUUCUAGUUGAAUUAAAAAGUGUAGAGAGGGAGGGAGGGUUGGCUUCAGUAUCCAAUUUUCAACUCAUUAGUAAAGCAUUACAACAAAUUCUUGAACAUAAUAUCAGAGUAAGACGGGGUUAAAUCAAGAGACAUGGACAAUAAGGAUUCAAAUAGUCGACUUUACUCGCCUCUUGAGCUCAGAGACCUUAUCAAUUUGCUGACCUAAUAUGAAAGCAAACUACAAACUAUCCAAACCACCACAACUCCAUUUGGCCACAGUCAUCCUAUCAGCUUGACUUUGCCCUCACAGGUUUUCGAUACCCUGCCAAUUCGUUUCAAUAACACGUACAUAAAACUAAAAAAAAACAGAAGGAUACCUGAGGGGAAAUGAUAAGUCAAAGACAUGGAAUAUACCAGGCUCAAGAGGCGGCAAUCCCUGUUGGAAAGUACCAAAGAAAGUCAGAAACAAGAAAAUUUCCGAGGGCAUGCAGUAUUACAUGAGCACUAAACUGAACUCCUUUCCUAAUGCAGAUAAUUCUUUCUACACAAGGAAAAUAUAUAAAGGCGUCAUUCUACUAUUACAAACCAGCUUGAUUUCAGAACGAUGGAAAUAUAACAACUGCACUAAUAGUUCAAGGCUGGUGUUGAGAAGUUUACAAAUUGGAUUAGCCCUUUGAAGGCUAAUAAAACAACCUAUGGGAACAAAAGUCUGGAGAACAAGCGGCUUUACUUGAUAAAUAGGAAGAGUGAGAGACGUGACAACUGUUAAUAUAACACAACUAAAUAUUUAUUCAUAAUAUGUGGGGAACGAGUUCCUCAGCAAGAAUUAAAUUCAGUCGAAAUGCCCGCGACUAUAUGACCAUAUGAUAAGCUACACAUGCAACCCUCACAAAUAUAUCAUGCCGUAACAAGUUAAAUUCUGAUAGUACAUCACAUGUUCAUACUUUAAGUUAAAUCAUUACCAAGAUACUGAAGUGAAGCUCUCCUGAUAACUUUUUACUACUUUUUGACAGUUAUUCAAGGGUUGUAACUAUUGCUCCCACAGCACGCUUGCUUUUACUUUCCAACUCAUUAUACCAAGUUGCAUAGGAAUGAUUUCUUUGAUAGAUUUAGUAUUUUCAAUUCUUCGUAGUUUGUUCUACGAAGUGGCUCCAAUACGAGUUCCAAGGAUUGAGAGUUACAGUCUUGACUCGAGUAGAAAAAGUGUCUAUGAACAUUUAUUUUUAGCACUUCAGCUAGCCUUCCAGAUGCAUACUCAUUACGAGUCUAAGAAGGAGGUGAAAUAAGGUCCCAUAAGGUGUGCAUUACUGAAAGUAACCUAGAUUAUUCCCAUACUUAGAACAAGGCUCAUUUAAGAGUUUUAUCAUAACGAGGCGGCGACAUGUCUUUAUUGUUGACAGAGACGAGGACUAGCAGCAUUACACAAGAAAAAGAUUGAGGUUAUUAAGAUUAUUAGCACCAAACAUGACAGAAAGUAUUUAGAGUCUAAAACGAGAACGACAGACGGAAACAUGAAUUCGACAUAUAUAAACAAAGGGAUUUCAUACCUCAAAGUGGUCCGAAAAGCUUCAGCCAAUAGCUUUAGCAAUAAAGGUGGAAUUGCCUGUAGAAAGCAGCUACAACUUCAGCAUUAACUGCAUUAAAUGUUUCUUAACAGCCAAAAGUCAGAUGCAUCACAAUUUAAGAAAUUAAUAACCAGAUAAUGAGAACAGAAAGAGCAGGGGAGUUGGACUUCUACAUACCCAACAAAAGAAAAAUAGUUCCUCAAGUUCUUAAUGAAGUUGGGACACUAACUUCAUCAGCUAAAAGGUUCUCGGCAUUAGGUUAUGUCUUGAUAAUGUUAGGGAGAUAGAUGCCCAAGCAGACCUCCAGGUUUCCGGGGGGGUGGGUGGGGUGGGUGGGGAGCGGCAUAUAGCUAAGAAGUUGGCAGAGGUAAAAAAGCAUAAAACAUCGUAGUGAUGUUCACUCACCAUUCUCAUCUAUAAUCGCACUGACAAUUUGAUCAAGCAUAACUAUGUUCUAGAGUAUAGCAAAGUUUGCUCCAAACAUCUUUUAAAAUUCGAGAAUUCUACAGUAGGUCAACUUUGUUCGGUUCUAAAGAGCUACUUAACUAUACAUAGGAGAAUCAAAAGUUUUACAUACAUUUAAUAAGAAAGGGGAUGCCAACUAUGAUUUUGACUAUUUAUGAGACAUGGGAGAACACUAUGGCCUACAUGUAUAUAAAUCGUAAAAUUAAGUACGUAAAAUUUCUCCUCGACGGUAUGCUACCUUGUGCACCAAAACCCGAUAACACUUCAGGAUUACGAGUCUCCAUUCUCCACUUUGUUCAAACUUCAGAUGUAUCAUCAGCAUGCAAUCUAUUACUUAGAUAUACCAAAGAUAAUUCCAAAGCGGCUGCUUCUCCUCAAACAUUAAUGAAUCUAGAAUAGCAGGCAUGCAAUCUAUUACUUAGAUAUACCAAAGAUAAUUCCAAAGUGGCUGCUUCUCCUCAAACAUUAAUGAAUCUAGAAUAGCAGGGCGUAUCCAGACAGGUUUUACAUUUGGACGGGUUCUCGUUUCAGAAGGAACUCCUUGCCAUCCGUAUGUGGAAGUGUUGAAGGAAACCCAAAGUCUGCCAAGUAACAAAAAACAGAAUAGGAUAAUACUGACAUAACAUGUUAAGAAACAGAAGCUCAAAAAUAGCAGGUCAGUAACAAGACGAUUUUAUCAAAGAUGAGUAUGAAAUCACUUACCAAGCAAUCCUAUCGUCGAGUUUUAGAAACAUAUCCAUUUCCUGCAAUAGAGGUUACUAAUCGUAAUCGGUAAAAUAAUUCAAAUUAGUUUCAUCUACGAUUUCGUGGAUGCACUAGUAAGCUAACUUAAUCUUCUAGAGUUCGAAUUUAUAGAUACAUACACCAUAACAGUCAAUAAAAGAACAAUUUCCAGAAAUUACAUUAUCAAAAUCUUCCCAACUUCUUCUAAAAGCAAAUUUGGAUUCAAGAUUUGGUAAUUAAAUUGAAGCAGUUACUAAGGUUCCAAAAUCUGCACACAUCCACACAAAAAAACAAGAAAUAAUCAUGGAACAGGAUAAGAAUCACUCAAAGGGUUAAUCAAUCUAGGGUUCUAAGGAAAAACCCAAUUUCACCGACUCAAAAACAUCACUGAAAUCUUGAAAAUCGGUGAAAGUGCUCCAGCUCCAGCGCCGGAGAAGUACCCGAUCAAUGACCCGUUCCGUUUUCCAACUCAGAUGAAUGGAGGUCCACUCACCAGUUGAUAAUAUUUUCCAUGCCAUUAGAGGAAAAUCACAAGCUUGACAAAUGUCUUUUUCAAGAACGCGAUAUGACAUUUUUUUCACAAACAGAGCAUUCUUUUGUAUGAAAUGACAAAAAUUUAUCUAAACACCGGGAAAUACUGUAUUCUUUCUUUUAGAGAUGGUCACACAUAUUCGUCAGGUUUGUGAUUCUCCUUACACAUAACAUGAAAGAUUAUCAUUUGAUAAGACGGACAACCAUUUCUAGCAUCUAAGAAAGAAAAAGGAACGAGAUUGACCGAUCUGGAAAAAACUAAACACGUGUUAGGAUAUGAAUCUUUCAACAUUUAUAACCAACCAGAAAGUGAGAUGUGAUGAAGUGUUCUCACUUAGUAAUAAAUGCAUUUUACUACUUUUGAAUAAUAGAAGAUUACAUUAACUGAAAAUAAACAACGAGAAGAUUAUAAUAAUUAUUUGGCUAAAGGGCACAGAUAGUUAUUGCAAACAAAUACAAAAAAGUAGAGAUUACAGUAAUUGGUUAGCACUUCUUUUAAGUUAGAAAAAUUAAUCAACUUCAAACUAGGUGUUCACACUAAACAGUUUGGUUUGACUCAAUUUUCCUUCUAAGAAAACAUAAAUUAAAUUAUUCCUAUGCUAGGAUCAAGGUUCAUUUGAACCAACAACUUAAUUGUUGCCCAGGCAUCUAAUGCUAUUUCGUGCUGACUGUUAUUCUACAAAGACAUUAAAGACUGUCCAAUUGUUUAACCCAAAAGGAAUGAAAGGACUUCAAACCUCAAAGAAAUCUGAGGAUCUUCAGCCAAUAAUUUUAGCCAAAAACAAUGGUGGAAUUACCCGUGGAGGAGGCUAUUAGCUCAGAACUAUCAACAUUAUGUCUCUAGAGGAAUAAAUGUCCCAUAAUAGCCAUAUGUCAUAUACACCCUCAAUGGGAUAGUCAACAUAAGCGAUACUAUGUGAACCCUCUCUCUCUCUACAAAUAGGAAAGCAUAAGCACUGCGCAACUAUUACUGUUCAUACUAACUCUUAUCCACAACAUUCUAGGAACGAGUCCCUCAACAACAAUGUUAGUUGAAAAGCUUGCAGCUAUUUUGUCCGCGUGACACAUUACGGUUGCAACACUUGCAAAAAUUUCAUGACCAUUACGGUUGCAACACUUGCAAAAAUUUCAUGACCUAAUCAAAUUGCAGUAGCAGAUCACGCCUUCAGAUUUUAAGUUUGCACUUUGAAAAUUACCAGAGUAUUGAAGUUCUUUAAAAGGUCUCCUAAUAACUUUCCACUAAUUUCGGGCUGCUUGUUAUUUCUAGUUUGUAAGCUUUCUGCCACAACAUACUUGGUUUUAUCUUUCCUUCCAGACAUUCCACCAAAUGCAUGCUGGUAUAGCCCUCCACCAUCUCUUCUUCCUUCCCCAGCCACCUACAUUGUUCCAGCACCUCAAAAGAUCACAAGUAGUACUGGGCAUAAUCCAAGUUGUAUUCACCAAUGCAAGGAAUAACUGUCACAUACUUAGUUUUAUCUUGACGUACCAAGUUGCAUAGAGUGACUUCUUUGAGAGUUCACUAGUUUGACUUCUUAGUAGUUGUGCAAAUUGGCUCCAGUACGAGUACGACAAUCAAGAAUUAACAGUCUUGAGUCAAGACAUGUCACCAAGGUUCUAUAUCUAGCUCUUCAGCUUGCUUUCUAGAUGCAUACACACUAACAACAACAACAACAACAACAACAACAACAACAACAUACCCGGUGCAUACUCACUAAUAGAUGUAAUAAAAAAGGUAAUUGCAACGCAUAUGAAAAGAGGCUAUCAUAUAAGUAAAAUAAGGCCCAUAAAGUGUGAAGAACUGAAAACAACAUAUUUUAUCCCUAUUCAAAGAGCAUGGCUCAUUUAAGAGAUUCCUCGUUAUGAUGUGAAAAAUCAUAAUUAUUCAAAGACAUGUAAUAUUCAUAGUCAACAAUGGAAGUACAUAGACACAGACACAAAAGAAACCAAGCUUUAGAAAACAACAAUGAUUAGAAGUUAUAGUUGUCAGUACGAAUCAGAAUAAUUAGAAAAUAUGGAGUGUCUCCAAUAAGGAAUUGUCAGCAUAAAAAACCCCAACCCAAAAGGGGAAAAAAGGCAUUUCAAUCUUCAAAGUGUCCGAGAAGCUCCAGAAAAUAAAUUUAGUCAGCACAAAGGUGUAAUCACCUGUAUCAUCAUUAUGAAUAAUGCUCCUUACUGCCAUAAGUCUGAUAAUCACCAGGAAAUGAGAAAAUAAAGGACAGGGUAGUUCUAUGCUUCCCACCAAAAGAGAAACACUUCAGCAAGUUCUAAGGAAGUUAGGAACUUGACUUCUUUUGAAACUGUUACAUUAGGUUUUGACUAGAUAUUUGCAGGGUCACAGGGGAUAGGUGCCGAAGCCAAAUUCCAUGUCCCCCCCCGGGGGGGGGGGGGGAGUUAAGAAAGUGGUAGAGGUAAAACAUUACAUCAGAUCUAGUGAGGCAAUAUCAUAGCAAUUCUGGCAUGCAAUUGAUGCAUACGUAGAUGCAAUCAUACUUCUGGCGCUCAUUUUCAUCUACACAUCUUAUUUUCAUAGUAAGAUUCUAUAGUAGGAUAAAUUUAUUCCAUUCUAAAUAUCUACUUAUACAUAAGAGUAUCCAUACUUCAACAUAUAUCUAAUAAGAAAAGGCAUGUCAACUAUAGCUUUUACUAUUUCUAAGACAUGAGAGCACACUAUCGCCUUAACGUAUUGACAAGAAAUAAACUGGUAGAAUCACACAAUACUUCUCCCCGACAGGACGCUACAUUCUGCACCAUAACAGGUAUAACAGGUAAUUAACCAAGCCGAUUUCAGCAAAUAUGAAAAGUAAUCAGUAACUAAGAAAUCCUAUCAUGAAACUUUAAUAACCUUUCACUCUCCUGCAACAGAACUUGAUAAUCCCUUGGAAUCAUAACGGAAUUCAAGUUCAAAACUUUGGGAAAUGGAUGAAACUAAUCAUUACAGGAUUGAAGAAAGCACCAAUAAGCUAUAGCAAAAAAGAAGUAAAAAUGUGAAAACUUAACUAAAAGUGAACACUAAAGAAGCCCUAGUUAAAUGCUUCUCACAGCUCAAAGUUAUUUACUUUAUUGUUAAAAUCAGAAAUGCUUAUUAAACUCAACAGCACACAGGAAAAAACUAAAUUUUGAAGGAAAAAUUUAUCAGCAAAUUUAGUUUUACUUAAAAGAGAAAAAUUAGUCCGAUCAAUUAAGAACAGACUUAGCAACAUGCUCUUGAUGGUCUAUUAGUUACAGCAAUUUAGGGUUCAAAUUUGGGGAUUUAAACUGAAGCAGCUUACUAGGGUUUCAAAAAGCUGAAACCUACUCACAAAAAAUCAACAAGAUUUAAUUCGAAGGGAUAAUCAAUUUAGGGUUUUGAAUAAAAAGAACAGCUUUUUUAAAAAGCAUCACCGGAAUCCUGAAAAAACCGGCGAAAGAUCGCCGGCGCCGGAGAAGGAUCCGAUCAAAUACUUGUUUCUUUAUCCGACUCAGAAACAUGGAGAUCCAAUUACCGAUUGGUACUAUUUUCUAUGCCAUCAAAGGAGAAUCACAAGCCUGACAAAUAUGUCACUUUCCAAAAA